UCCGUUGUAGCUCAGUUGGUAGUAGCAUCUGACUGUUAAUCAGAGGGUCACAGGUUCGAGUCCUGUCAACGGAGCCA
RNAcentral lists this transfer RNA (77 nucleotides) under Kurthia sibirica. RNAcentral's name for it is "tRNA-Asn". It matches the Rfam family "tRNA". From Rfam's summary of the family: Transfer RNA (tRNA) molecules are approximately 80 nucleotides in length. Their secondary structure includes four short double-helical elements and three loops (D, anti-codon, and T loops). The record is from RNAcentral. Lineage: Bacteria; Bacillati; Bacillota; Bacilli; Caryophanales; Caryophanaceae.